This 119-nucleotide ribosomal RNA is filed under the name Pteropus alecto (black flying fox). Lineage: Eukaryota; Metazoa; Chordata; Mammalia; Chiroptera; Pteropodidae. The record is from RNAcentral.
GUUUACGGCCAUGCCACCCUGAACACGCCUGAUCUCGUCUGAUCUUGGAAGCUAAGUAGGGUCGGGCCUGAUUAGUACUUGGAUGGGAGACCACCUAGAAAUACCAGGUGCUGUAGGCA